GAAGGUUAGAAUGAGAGCUUCGGCAGGAUUUCUUUCCAUCUUAGUGGCGGACGGGUGAGUAACGUGUGGGCAACCUGCCCUGUACUGGGGAAUAAUCAUUGGAAACGAUGACUAAUACCGCAUGUGGUCCUCGGAAGGCAUCUUCUGAGGAAGAAAGGAUUUAUUCGGUACAGGAUGGGCCCGCAUCUGAUUAGCUAGUUGGUGAGAUAACAGCCCACCAAGGCGACGAUCAGUAGCCGACCUGAGAGGGUGAUCGGCCACAUUGGGACUGAGACACGGCCCAAACUCCUACGGGAGGCAGCAGUGGGGAAUAUUGCACAAUGGGCGAAAGCCUGAUGCAGCAACGCCGCGUGAAGGAUGAAGGGUUUCGGCUCGUAAACUUCUAUCAAUAGGGAAGAAACAAAUGACGGUACCUAAAUAAGAAGCCCCGGCUAACUACGUGCCAGCAGCCGCGGUAAUACGUAGGGGGCAAGCGUUAUCCGGAAUUACUGGGUGUAAAGGGAGCGUAGGCGGCAUGGUAAGCCAGAUGUGAAAGCCUUGGGCUUAACCCGAGGAUUGCAUUUGGAACUAUCAAGCUAGAGUACAGGAGAGGAAAGCGGAAUUCCUAGUGUAGCGGUGAAAUGCGUAGAUAUUAGGAAGAACACCAGUGGCGAAGGCGGCUUUCUGGACUGAAACUGACGCUGAGGCUCGAAAGCGUGGGGAGCAAACAGGAUUAGAUACCCUGGUAGUCCACG
Molecule: ribosomal RNA, 734 nt
Filed under: uncultured bacterium
Lineage: Bacteria
Description: bacterial SSU rRNA
Rfam family: Bacterial small subunit ribosomal RNA
Source: RNAcentral